This 791-nucleotide ribosomal RNA is filed under the name uncultured bacterium. RNAcentral describes it as "bacterial SSU rRNA". It matches the Rfam family "Bacterial small subunit ribosomal RNA", at positions 8 to 796 of the family's 1533-position model. The record is from RNAcentral.
AGAGUUUGAUCCUGGCUCAGAUUGAACGCUGGCGGCAUGCUUUACACAUGCAAGUCGAACGGUAACAGGCCGCAAGGUGCUGACGAGUGGCGAACGGGUGAGUAAUGCAUCGGAACGUGCCCAGUCGUGGGGGAUAACGCAGCGAAAGCUGCGCUAAUACCGCAUACGAUCUAUGGAUGAAAGCGGGGGACCGUAAGGCCUCGCGCGAUUGGAGCGGCCGAUGUCAGAUUAGGUAGUUGGUGGGGUAAAGGCUCACCAAGCCGUCGAUCUGUAGCUGGUCUGAGAGGACGACCAGCCACACUGGGACUGAGACACGGCCCAGACUCCUACGGGAGGAAGCAGUGGGGAAUUUUGGACAAUGGGCGCAAGCCUGAUCCAGCCAUGCCGCGUGCAGGAUGAAGGCCUUCGGGUUGUAAACUGCUUUUGUACGGAACGAAAAGACUCCUUCUAAUAAAGGGGGUCCAUGACGGUACCGUAAGAAUAAGCACCGGCUAACUACGUGCCAGCAGCCGCGGUAAUACGUAGGGUGCGAGCGUUAAUCGGAAUUACUGGGCGUAAAGCGUGCGCAGGCGGUUAUGUAAGACAGAUGUGAAAUCCCCGGGCUCAACCUGGGAACUGCAUUUGUGACUGCAUAGCUAGAGUACGGCAGAGGGGGAUGGAAUUCCGCGUGUAGCAGUGAAAUGCGUAGAUAUGCGGAGGAACACCGAUGGCGAAGGCAAUCCCCUGGGCCUGUACUGACGCUCAUGCACGAAAGCGUGGGGAGCAAACAGGAUUAGAUACCCCGGUAGUCC